AGCGAACGCUGGCGGCAGGCCUAACACAUGCAAGUCGAACGAACUCUUCGGAGUUAGUGGCGGACGGGUGAGUAACACGUGGGAACGUGCCUUUAGGUUCGGAAUAACUCAGGGAAACUUGUGCUAAUACCGAAUGUGCCCUUCGGGGGAAAGAUUUAUCGCCUUUAGAGCGGCCCGCGUCUGAUUAGCUAGUUGGUGAGGUAAAGGCUCACCAAGGCGACGAUCAGUAGCUGGUCUGAGAGGAUGAUCAGCCACAUUGGGACUGAGACACGGCCCAAACCCCUACGGGAGGCAGCAGGGGGGAAUUUUGGGCAAGGGGCGAAAGCCUGAAGCAGCCAUGCCGGGUGAAUGAUGAAGGUCUUAGGAUUGUAAAAUUCUUUCCCCGGGGACGAUAAUGACGGUACCCGGAGAAGAAGCCCCGGCUAACUUCGU
RNAcentral lists this ribosomal RNA (432 nucleotides) under uncultured bacterium. RNAcentral describes it as "partial 16S ribosomal RNA". It matches the Rfam family "Bacterial small subunit ribosomal RNA", at positions 29 to 506 of the family's 1533-position model. The record is from RNAcentral.